RNAcentral lists this non-coding RNA (62 nucleotides) under unclassified sequences. The record is from RNAcentral.
CGAAAAUAGAGUGGCAGGUUGGUAUCUCCUGCGCCCCGCGAGGGGUUCUAUGCAUGCCACGG